CCUUCUGCCGUUCGAGUACUCCUGUCCAAUCCAGCGGUGGCCAAAGGCUUGGCACAGUGAGCCUCCCGGGUGGGUGGCGCUCCCCUCGAGGUGCCCCAGGGCUGGGGAAAUUGAGAACUCUGGCAGGGGAGGUGGCCGGACUAAGACAGUAACUGUCCUGCGGCGUCUGGGACAAUGUCUACAGCCAAGUGAAGGUCUCCCAAGAUCUCUUUCCUGUCAGCCAAUGGAGGCAUUCAGCCAAGCGGUUAACCUGGUAAGUUGAGGAAAAUAGCCUAUUUCCCUUGGGCGAAACUUUGGGGACGUUGAGAAGGCUCUCUGCCUCCCAAGUGCUCACCCCAUCCCUUCCCUUGAGGCCCGAAACUCCAUAAUCAGAGUGUCAUCUCUCAGCGAGAAGAAGCUGUGAUGGCUUCUAAAGCCGUUAUCAGUCCGUUACACCUUAGUGUAAGUGAAGAAUCUAGAAGCAGGUUUUGACAUGGAGGCCGGAGAGGGAAAGGAAGAGGUAACCUGAGUCCCGGAGGUGGGAGAUCAUCAGAGACACAGACAGAAAGUGCGGGAGAGGGAACGCCGAGAGGAGAAGCUGGCCUUGUGACAAACUUUGCCAAGGGCAAUUUCGCCGAGUUCUAGCAACUCAUCCUGACAGCGGAAUGUCCAGUUAUUAACAAAGAAUGUCUCGGACUCUCAUUCUGAUGGCGGCGUCAGCCAGAUGAUUCCAAUGACCGCACCCGGCAGCUACGGGUGCAUUGCUGGCCUCUCUAACACGCAGGGGAGCCCGGCUGAUCCUAACAUUAGCAGGUCGCAGAACGUCUUGGACGGCUGUUUGCUACAGAGGAUUUCGAAUAAGAUAGAGACUGAAACAUUUAAAUGAUCAGAAUCUGGAAAACGGUAUUUUCACUGGAGAAGAGGUUGCCCAAAUUUCCAUCUCCUGAAUCAGCAAGGAUCAAAAAGGAAUGAUCGAAUCCCCACAGUGGACCUACAAUUGCACUAGGUGAUGUGGGGGAACUGGAAACAGCCGAUCACCCUACACACACAGUGAGUGCCUUGCUUUUUUCUCUAAGCAAUACUUCCUCCCCAUCU
This 1074-nucleotide long non-coding RNA is filed under the name Ursus maritimus (polar bear). RNAcentral's name for it is "lncRNA (ENSUMAG00000018834.1)". The record is from RNAcentral. Lineage: Eukaryota; Metazoa; Chordata; Mammalia; Carnivora; Ursidae.